UACGGGGGGGGCAAGCGUUGUUCGGAAUUACUGGGCGUAAAGGGCUCGUAGGUGGCCAACUAAGUCAGACGUGAAAUCCCCAGGCUCAACCUGGGAACUGCGUCUGAUACUGGAUGGCUUGAAUUCGGGAGAGGGAUGCAGAAUUCCAGGUGUAGCGGUGAAAUUCGUAGAUAUCGGGAGGAACACCAGUGGCGAAGGCGGCGAUCUGGGAAGAUACUGACGCUGAGGUGCGAAAGCGUGGGGAGCAAACAGG
This 253-nucleotide ribosomal RNA is filed under the name uncultured bacterium. Its description in RNAcentral is "partial 16S ribosomal RNA". It matches the Rfam family "Bacterial small subunit ribosomal RNA", at positions 524 to 776 of the family's 1533-position model. The record is from RNAcentral.